CUACGGGAGGCUCCAGGCGAGAAAACUUUGCAAUGUGCGAAAGCACGACAAGGUUAAUCCGAGUGGUUUCUGCUAAAGGAACCUUUUGUCAGUCCUAGAAACACUGAUGAAUAAGGGGUGGGCAAGUUCUGGUGUCAGCCGCCGCGGUAAAACCAGCACCUCAAGUGGUCAGGAUGAUUAUUGGGCCUAAAGCAUCCGUAGCCGGCUCUGUAAGUUUUCGGUUAAAUCUGUACGCUCAACGUACAGGCUGCCGGGAAUACUGCAGAGCUAGGGAGUGGGAGAGGUAGGCGGUACUCGGUAGGAAGGGGUAAAAUCCUUUGAUCUAUUGAUGACCACCUGUGGCGAAGGCGGUCUACCAGAACACGUCCGACAGUGAGGGAUGAAAGCUGGGGGAGCAAACCGGAUUAGAUACCCUUGUAGUC
Molecule: ribosomal RNA, 422 nt
Filed under: uncultured archaeon
Lineage: Archaea
Description: partial 16S ribosomal RNA
Rfam family: Archaeal small subunit ribosomal RNA
Source: RNAcentral